RNAcentral lists this non-coding RNA (23 nucleotides) under Arabidopsis thaliana (thale cress). The record is from RNAcentral. Lineage: Eukaryota; Viridiplantae; Streptophyta; Magnoliopsida; Brassicales; Brassicaceae.
AACAUUGUAGGGCUCGGUGUCGA